ACAGAGGGUGCAAACGUUGUUCGGAAUUACUGGGCGUAAAGCGCGUGUAGGCGGCUAAGCAAGUCGGGUGUGAAAGCCCUUGGCUCAACUGAGGAAGAGCACUCGAAACUGCGUAGCUUGAGUUCUGGAGAGGAUGGUGGAAUUCUCGGUGUAGAGGUGAAAUGCACAGAUAUCGAGAGGAACACCAGUGGGGAAGGCGGCUAACUGGAAUGAAACUGACGCUGAGUCGCGAAAGCGAGGGUAGCUAACAG
Molecule: ribosomal RNA, 251 nt
Filed under: uncultured prokaryote
Description: partial 16S rRNA
Rfam family: Bacterial small subunit ribosomal RNA
Source: RNAcentral